UACGUAGGGGGCGAGCGUUGUCCGGAGUUACUGGGCGUAAAGCGCACGCAGGCGGUCUGCUAAGUUUGGAGUGACAGUUGGUGGCUUAACUGCCAAAGUGCUUCGAAAACUGACAGACUUGAGGGCUUCAGAGGGACACGGAAUUCCGGGUGGAGUGGUGAGAUGCGUAGAGAUCCGGAGGAACACCAAAGGCGAAGGCAGUGUCCUGGGGAGUACCUGACGCUCAGGUGCGAAAGCCAGGGGAGCGAACGGG
This 253-nucleotide ribosomal RNA is filed under the name uncultured bacterium. Its description in RNAcentral is "partial 16S ribosomal RNA". It matches the Rfam family "Bacterial small subunit ribosomal RNA", at positions 524 to 776 of the family's 1533-position model. The record is from RNAcentral.